AAAUAAAUUGCAAUGUAGCCUAGAUGUACAGCAUUUAAAACUGAUUAACGUUACGCUUUAGUACAUUGGUAACUUAAGCUCAUUUUCUAGCCAUGUCAUGCUAGUUAACAAUUAACAUUUACAGAGAGUAAUUGUAACUUACCUUUGUGAAAAUGCUUUGAACACACCAUCAUGUGUGGUGGAGUGUUAUCGAAGGUAAUCUUGGCUUCCUUACCGCUGAUAGAAGGAUAUUCCGUUCUUAAGCUUUACGCCACUUCUAUCGUGAGAACGACUAUUGCAGUUUAUAACACAGCAGGUAGAAGGCAUCUUGAACACUGCGUUCUUCCCUCCAUGCAAAGAAGUCUGGCGCCUAAUGUUUGUGCCGCGGAUUCCCAAAAUGCUUUGCGUUCACCACUGGGAAUUCGUCAUGAUGACGACACAUUAGCGAUCUCUAUUGUGGGAGUAUAUUAGAAGAGUUUGUUGUUUGCUUGGGCCAUCUGGACCCAGAAGCAUUGAAGCAUGAUGUCAGAUGUAACAAUGAUAUGUUCUUAACCACUCCUACACUCAAAAAAAUGACUCUUUGGCUGAACAUGAUUCUUUCAUGGACAGUGGUUCCACAUGUUUGUACCAUGUUAUUUGGACAUGAAUAAAUCAAGUUAUAAGGACAUGUGUACUUUUAGUUGAGUUUACUCAGUUUGUUUUAGUUCAUCCUACAUGAAAUAUCUGAGUAGAAAUAAUAUGUUUACAUCAUGUAGAACCACUGUCCAUGCAAGUUUAGCCAAAGUGUUAAAAAAACAUUAGCAAGUAAGAUAUAACUUUUCUUUACACAUGAUGUUAGUAGUUUGCAGUUUAAGGAUGUUAUUAUGUGUACAUCAUGCACUAGUACUCCCCUUAAAGUUGCAUUUUUUUUAAAUUAAGUAUUUUAGACUUUCAUUUAACCAGGUCCUCAACCCAACCACAAGCUCCACACUUCACCACAAUGGUAACUCGCACAAAAUACACCAAUAUAAAGUCUUUUAAAAUGCCCACAUAAUAGAGCAUUAGACAUGAAAAAGUCUCCUUAUCACAUUUUAUUAAAGACUGCAUAAAAUAACACUUUAUUUCAACAUUUUCUCUCCCCAUAUCCAGUCCUGUGCAAAGCAUGAUGGGAAGAGUAAAACUUAGUUUGAAGUACUUGAUUGAAACAUGUUCUUUCAAAAUGAAAACUUUUUGUUAAACCAACGAGUGACAGUUUUAAGUCAGUUUAACAUGACACAAUCAUGUUGAAAUGAAAAAUAACCAUUACAAAAUAAUGGCAUUAAUUCAACAUGAAUUGUUCAGGUAAAGUGAACAAAACUGAAAAUUCAUUUUUUAAGUGUAUCCAACCGUGAAUCUGCUAUGAGCAAGAGCUGGGGUGGAGGUGCACCACAAUAAAACCCUACCUUUUAUUCAGUAUCACAUUUCACUUGGAAAUACAUCACAACACUGAAGU
Molecule: long non-coding RNA, 1450 nt
Filed under: Carassius auratus (goldfish)
Lineage: Eukaryota; Metazoa; Chordata; Actinopteri; Cypriniformes; Cyprinidae
Description: lncRNA (ENSCARG00000070407.1)
Source: RNAcentral